Molecule: long non-coding RNA, 905 nt
Organism: Haliotis rufescens (red abalone)
Lineage: Eukaryota; Metazoa; Mollusca; Gastropoda; Lepetellida; Haliotidae
Exons: 2
Source: RefSeq, a predicted model, not a curated record
GUGUGGGUGGAGAUAGGUGCGUGUGUGUAGAGACAAAGGUUAAUGUUGUUGUGACGAUACCAUCAACUCAGAAACGAAUAAAGCCUUCAAAUCAAGUGCAGACCCGCCCAAUGUUCAAAUAGCUUACAUACAGACACGGUGCAUUGCCACAAUUGUUUUAAGAUAUUGACGGAUCAGAAUUGGAGAAUAUCGCCAUAAAGACAUGAAGCUAACGUUGGCCCUAGCUGUGAUUCUCCUGCUGUGUGCCACGCCGAUAGGUGGCGCUAAGGUACCGGAAGAAGAGACACGCCUUGCACACGUCUCAGAGGUACCGAAGAGGUUCGUCAGGACAGUCCUGAUGCGAAGGCGACGUCAUCUUGACACACAACACCCUGGGAACCUCGAAAACAGAAGACGCAGAAGCGUGGUCGCCUUCUGCCAGACCGAGGAGUGCUUCAAGUUGAUGGGGCAAUAUGAUGAAUGGCUGCGCCUACACGGCUCUGGAUCUUCUAGUUCUGGUCGCUGGGGGAAGUAAUACAGAAAUCCAGAAUGUUCUACCAGUGGCCUUAUGGCCCCUGUCAUUGUAACCACUAGGAUGCUAUAUCAAUGAGUUAUGUCUAAUGUCGCACUUCCUCCUGUUGCUGAAGCUUUUUACGGCCGCCAAGGAACAGUUGGUACGGAUAGGGGUUUUGUGGUUGUGACGUAUGCAGAUAUUCAGUACAGAAUUAGAACGUAGGCAGAACAGUUCGCUAUAGAUUUGGACAGUCACCCUUUACUUGAAGUAUCUAUCUACCAGUCACUGCAUAUAAAACAUCUCAAGAGAAAGUAGAAGUGAUGACUACAAACAACACAACAUAAUGAUGUCUUUGUCCUUUUUUAUGGUAUUAUGAAAGAGUUUAACAGAAUAUAUUAAAAGUCGACCAAUA